GCAGCGCUCUUUGAUGACUACACUUAUUUGAACGGAUUUUCAUCCAUAAUGAAGUUAAUCUUUUUCUUAAUCUAUGCACCUUUUGUUUACUCAGCUCCUGAAGUGUCUCUGUUACAGAAGGAUUUCUCGUCUCCAGUGGUGUGUCAUGCCACAGGUUUUGACCCAGCAGGAGUAACUAUUACCUGGUUAAGAAAUGGACAGGAUCACGAUGAGGAUGUGGAUUUUGGAGAGACACUACCAAAUAUGGAUGGGACCUUCCAGAGGACAUCUACCCUCACUGUUUUUCCAGAUGACUGGAAGAGCAACCAGUAUGUUUGUGUGGUGGAGCACAUGACGGGGACCAUCCGGAAGAUUCUGAGAGAGGACGAGAUCAAGAACAAUUGGAAGAUGAACCAGUAUUUUUGUGUGGCGGAGCACAAGGGAAAGACCCUCCAGAAGAUUUGCGAUGAAGAGUAA
Onychostoma macrolepis is the source of this 456-nucleotide non-coding RNA. NCBI's taxonomy places the organism in Eukaryota, Metazoa, Chordata, Actinopteri, Cypriniformes, Cyprinidae. The record is from the annotation of a RefSeq genome assembly.